AGCUCAAAUUCAGAAAACCGUGCUGCACCUGGGUGACCUGUUACAGGAGUGUCUCCUCUUUUCAGGGGUACCAGCUGAUACUAAACAUACUGCCACUGAGAGCCCUGACCCGAGUACUGAGAGGGGCAGGCAGGCCGAGCUGACCUCCCGGCCGGGCGCCGUGGUCUCGCAGGGAAAGGUGGUCAUCGCAGUCGUCGUCGCCCUGUGUGUGGUGUUGCACCUGAUUGGAGGGGCUCUGUACCUGUGGAAGAGGCAGAAACGCCAGGACUCGGGUAAUUCUGACCCCCCCCAGAGUCACUCCUGCUCCCCCCUCAUGGACUUUGCAGCGCAAUGGCGACACCUUGUGGCCGUCAAGUGGUACUGCUCACCUACCGGCACUGCAGCUCAGAGUUGAGCACAAG
This 401-nucleotide long non-coding RNA is filed under the name Lepisosteus oculatus (spotted gar). Its description in RNAcentral is "lncRNA (ENSLOCG00000023260.1)". Lineage: Eukaryota; Metazoa; Chordata; Actinopteri; Semionotiformes; Lepisosteidae. The record is from RNAcentral.